Molecule: ribosomal RNA, 253 nt
Filed under: uncultured bacterium
Lineage: Bacteria
Description: partial 16S ribosomal RNA
Rfam family: Bacterial small subunit ribosomal RNA
Source: RNAcentral
UACGAAGGGGGCUAGCGUUGCUCGGAAUUACUGGGCGUAAAGCGUGCGCAGGCGGUUUUUUAAGCCAGAUGUGAAAUCCCCGGGCUUAACCUGGGAAUGGCAUUUGGGACUGCAAGGCUGGAGUGUGGCAGAGGAGACUGGAAUUCCUGGUGUAGCAGUGAAAUGCGUAGAUAUCAGGAGGAAUACCGAUGGCGAAGGCAGGUCUCUGGGCUGACACUGACGCUCAUGCACGAAAGCGUGGGGAGCAAACAGG